GACUUGAUAUAGGCAGAGAACAAGCAGAAAAUUAUUUAGAAUAUCCAGUGGAAUCCAUCAUUAUAUUUUUGAGACUAUUAAUCUGCCAAUGUGAAGUACAGGAGAGAGAGGCAAGAGCAGGGCCCACUAGUGGAUUCAGCUCAGCCUUAUUCCCCAGGGGAAAACACAUUCUUUUUCACUUUCCUGAGCUGCCUUAUCUGAUAAAAAUGAUUCUUACAUCUCCCAGCAAUGCCUUCUGAUUGUAAUGUAGUUUAUGCCACUGGUUUGCCUAUUUCUCAAAUAUAAACCUACACACACGUACACACAUUUGGCCUUAGCCUUUCUAAUUCCACUCUCAUCAGGACAG
This 346-nucleotide long non-coding RNA is filed under the name Homo sapiens (human). RNAcentral's name for it is "non-protein coding lnc-POTED-12:1". Lineage: Eukaryota; Metazoa; Chordata; Mammalia; Primates; Hominidae. The record is from RNAcentral.